AUUGAACGCCGGUGGCAUGCCUUACACAUGCAAGUCGAACGGCAGCGGGGGAGAAGCUUGCUUUUCCUGCCGGCGAGUGGCGAACGGGUGAGUAAUACAUCGGAACGUGCCCUGUAGUGGGGGAUAACUAGUCGAAAGAUUAGCUAAUACCGCAUACGACCUGAGGGUGAAAGUGGGGGACCGCAAGGCCUCAUGCUAUAGGAGCGGCCGAUGUCUGAUUAGCUAGUUGGUGGGGUAAAGGCCUACCAAGGCGACGAUCAGUAGCUGGUCUGAGAGGACGAUCAGCCACACUGGGACUGAGACACGGCCCAGACUCCUACGGGAGGCAGCAGUGGGGAAUUUUGGACAAUGGGCGAAAGCCUGAUCCAGCAAUGCCGCGUGUGUGAAGAAGGCCUUCGGGUUGUAAAGCACUUUUGUCCGGAAAGAAAUGGCUCUGGUUAAUACCUGGGGUCGAUGACGGUACCGGAAGAAUAAGGACCGGCUAACUACGUGCCAGCCGCCGCAGUAA
This 508-nucleotide ribosomal RNA is filed under the name uncultured bacterium. RNAcentral describes it as "partial 16S ribosomal RNA". It matches the Rfam family "Bacterial small subunit ribosomal RNA", at positions 30 to 523 of the family's 1533-position model. The record is from RNAcentral.